AGGUAGGUAGGUAGGUACUCGGACGUGUGUGUGAUAAAAUUAAUCAACAAGAAAUACAAAUAUUUACUAAUGAAUUUAGUGUAUUGGAGUGUGUUUUAUCCAUGAACAAAACUCGUAGUGAUAUCAGAACUUUUCCAUGUGUUAAAAAACGCGACAGAAGUAAUUGAGUUGCGUGUGCGCCACCAGGGAGCAUGUCACAAUCACGGAUGUAAAAACACAAGUUGUAAAUGCCAGAAUAACAAGAGAUUUUGUACCAUGCAGCUGUAAAUGAUGUGGACGUAUAUGGUGUUGUUGACGGCGGCGAUGGCGGCCGCGCGCGCCGGUGCCGGCGACGCCAUCGAUUUACCGCUGUAUUUAUCGUCGGAGAUGUCGUGGGGCGGGCCGGCGGCGGGGUGCGCGGGGGGCGCGGCGCCGGGGGGGCGG
Long non-coding RNA from Aricia agestis (brown argus), 423 nucleotides. RefSeq lists it as uncharacterized. Lineage: Eukaryota; Metazoa; Arthropoda; Insecta; Lepidoptera; Lycaenidae. The transcript has 3 exons. The record is from RefSeq and is a predicted model, not a curated record.